Molecule: RNA transcript, 567 nt
Organism: Fragaria vesca subsp. vesca
Lineage: Eukaryota; Viridiplantae; Streptophyta; Magnoliopsida; Rosales; Rosaceae
Exons: 3
Source: RefSeq, a predicted model, not a curated record
CCUCUCCACUUCUCUCUCUCCCCGAGCCGACCCCGACUCCGACCCCGUCCUAUUCUCCUUGGCGAAGCGCCGUCGUCCGGCCACAGCAGACCCCCGCGUCGGUUCCAUUCGGCAGCUGGGACGUCGCUCGUCCUUCCUGGGUUGGUAGCCGGCCUCAUCUCGCCGGCAGCGGCUCACGGUGGCACUGUGAAGGCCGUUGGUUUUGUAAGCCGGAACUUUCUUCUCCGGCCACCGAUUCAAGGACGAGAGGAGACACCACGUGAGGAGGGCUCUGACCGACGUCAGGCUUAGCCGUCAAUAUUAUUGCAGAGCUCCUGUUCGGUUUCCUUAGGAAUUGAGGCAUAGUUUUCCCGCUGCUCCUUGCUGAUCGUAGGUUACCUGUUAACCUAUGUGUAGUUGUUUUAUUUUCCUUCCUUAGUGCUCUGAGAACCAUGGGAUGAUGUAAAUUAAGUUGAAGUGUUUUUCUUUAGGACUAUGUCUCAUGUAGAGAGUUUAAUCUUGGUUGAUGUUAAUGUUAAUUAAUGUAGUUGAGUAUCUGGUUUGGUUGUUAAGUACUGCUAUGUCUUU